This 465-nucleotide ribosomal RNA is filed under the name Vreelandella stevensii. Its description in RNAcentral is "partial 16S ribosomal RNA". It matches the Rfam family "Bacterial small subunit ribosomal RNA", at positions 338 to 795 of the family's 1533-position model. The record is from RNAcentral. Lineage: Bacteria; Pseudomonadati; Pseudomonadota; Gammaproteobacteria; Oceanospirillales; Halomonadaceae.
CCUACGGGAGGCUGCAGUGGGGAAUAUUGGACAAUGGGGGGAACCCUGAUCCAGCCAUGCCGCGUGUGUGAAGAAGGCCCUCGGGUUGUAAAGCACUUUCAGUGAGGAAGAACGCCUGGUGGUUAAUACCCAUCAGGAAAGACAUCACUCACAGAAGAAGCACCGGCUAACUCCGUGCCAGCAGCCGCGGUAAUACGGAGGGUGCGAGCGUUAAUCGGAAUUACUGGGCGUAAAGCGCGCGUAGGUGGCUUGAUAAGCCGGGUGUGAAAGCCCCGGGCUCAACCUGGGAACGGCAUCCGGAACUGUCAAGCUAGAGUGCAGGAGAGGAAGGUAGAAUUCCCGGUGUAGCGGUGAAAUGCGUAGAGAUCGGGAGGAAUACCAGUGGCGAAGGCGGCCUUCUGGACUGACACUGACACUGAGGUGCGAAAGCGUGGGUAGCAAACAGGAUUAGAUACCCGAGUAGUC